GAUCUUUCUUCUGAACUCAUGUAGUUAAAGGACAGAAAUAUCUUAUCAAGAACCCAAACUUUGCUUCCUCCAGCCUUGUGGUGAAAUUUCGGACGCCAAGAACUCCAUCCUAUCCGGGGUCAGCAAAUGUUAGGCAGCAAUGAACUGAAAACGAUUUACCCUUGUCACCUCAAUGGAAUCCCAUCAUCAGCCUAGAAAACGCGAGAGCCCUAACAACUCCCGGAGAAAGAUGAGACCCUUGAUGCUGCAGAUUGCGCACACACACAUAUAUCCAGUAAACGGAUCAGCAAAUUAAUGUGUGGUUUUAGCUAAUUUCAGGACCAUUUGCAUCUGGUGUUUCAGGGGUAGGUAGGUGAGUAGGUAGGUAGGCGAGGUGUGUUCCUUCAGAGAUUCAGGCUAAGUUCUUGACCCUGACGGAUCAUUUCGACAAGCAGAUUUCGGUUAGGUUCCAUCUGAUCUCAGUGGUGCAGGUUCUGCAAAAAUGCCAAAGAGGAUGAUGAUGAUACAGAUCAGAUGUAUGCAUGUUGUCACAAUCUCAGAAUGAGAAUGUCAGACCCGAGAAUCAAGAAGGAGUAUUGUAGUAAACAACAUUGGUGGUGAUCACUGAUCAGAGCAUAUUGUACAGCUCAGGUCUGGCCUGACCUGAAAGAAAUUACAAAUAGUAUAUACUAUUACUUGUUCUGUUUUUUUUUUCUUCUGAAAGAAAAAAAAAUGUUCCUUGCGUGGUCAGAAUUAAGCCGAUAAUAAACAUUGAUCAAAGAACUGAUUAGAUUUUGUGUUUUGUAUUCGGUAUUUGCAUGAAUCUCGUUGCAGACAUCUCAUAUGGUCAGAGCAUAUCUAACCACUAUAUUACGUAAAAUAAAUAGUAUUUUCAUUCUGCAUGAGUGCACUAUGAUUUGUCUUGCCUUUUUCUUUUCCUUCGGAGCAUUAUGCUUUAUCUUUUGAUUUGUGUCUAUGGGCAUAAUAUUCAGAUACCAAAGUUGUAAGAUAGUUAAAUACGUUUUCAUUAUCUAAGAAACAAAAGUACACUGUACACACUGUUAAGGGUAUGUGCCCUUAACAUAUACUCCUUCCGUUCCAUAAUAGGUGACGUUUUUGACUUUUUAUUUGCAACGUUUGACCAUUCAUUUUAUUUGAAAAACUAGUGCAAAUAUAAAAAAAGAUAAGUCAUAUGUAAAGUACUUUUGACAAUAAAACAAAUGACAAACAAAAUAAAUAAUAAUUCCAAAAUUUUUUGAAUAAGACGAAUGAUCAAACAUUGAUAAACAAAAACUUAAAAACUUAAAAAGACAAGUAAUAUGGGACGGAGGUAGUACUCCAUAAUAUUAUUAUGAAUGCCUAACUGGAACACAAGAUAAGAAAAAAAAUGUUCCUUGCGUUUUUAAUUUAGAGCUCUGGUCUGACUUGAAAGAAACUACAUUACUUGUUCAUUUUUAAUUUCCGAGAAAAAAAUUGUUCCUUGCGUGGUCAGAAUUAAACCAAUCAUAAACAGUAUCAAAGAACCAAUUAGACUUCGUGUUUUAUUCCGUACUAGCAUGAAUCUCGUUGCAGACAUCUCAUAUGGUCAGCAAGCAUAGUUACCUGCUAUCACAAAAACUAGUAGUACCAUUCUCAUUCAACAUAAAUACACUAUGGCGUUUCUCUUUUGAUUUGUGUCAAUGUGCAUAAUAUGCUGACACCGAUAUAAAAUAACUUAUCAUUAUGUUAAAAAAAAUAAGUGCAUGACAUGAUGAGUGCCUAACUAGAGCACAAGAAUUUCGCAGAAAUUUCAUGGUUUUCAGUUUUCAAGUUUCAAAGGGAGGACAACGAACAUUACUAUAAAGCAGACAAGUUGAGUUUACUGCUUACUAUACGUAAUUAUCAUAGCUAAUAUAGGUCAGUAAAAAGGGACGUCCACCACAAAUCCCCAUCUCCUACACGCAAAUAUUCAGAGAUCAAAGUUGUAAAAUACAUAAAUACCUUAUCACUGCUUGGUAAACAUAAAUGUACCAUACGGUUCUAUAAUUCUUAAUAUUUUAGAAAAUGACACGGUCUUAAAAAAUUAUCUUCGACUAUGAUUUUUCUAUUAUAACAUAUAAAAAAUAAGUUGUAAGAUUAAUAUAUACAUCGUGUUAUAGUGUUUUCAAUCUAAAUAGUUUAAAAUUUAUUGAUUCUCAGUCUUAUCUAAAACGUCAAAAGUUAUGAAACGGGGUGAGUACACUGUUUAAGGGUGUAUACUAGCAUACAUGACAUUUAUGAAUUGCCUAACUGUGGAACACGAGAAUUCCUCAGAAAUUAUAGUUUUUUCACUUUUCAAGUUUCAAAAGGAGGAAGACGAAUACUCCUGCAAAGCAGGCAAGUUGAGUUCACUGCUGACUGCUACCUCAUUAUCAUAGCUAAUCUAGGUCUGUAAAAAGGGACAUCCACUCCAAAUCUCCAUCUCCAACACGCAAAACGAGCCGCCAAGAACCUGUCACCGACUGAAUCACGUAUUCUUGUCCAUCAAAUCGGUAAACCAGCACGAAGAAUUUUCCCCCAUGUGAUGGAUAAAUAAUGGAUGCAUUCAAAAUGAAUUCAGAAUUCUUCAGAAUUCGACACCAGAGAGGCAAUGCAUGGUCG
Molecule: small RNA, 2598 nt
Filed under: Oryza sativa Japonica Group (Japanese rice)
Lineage: Eukaryota; Viridiplantae; Streptophyta; Magnoliopsida; Poales; Poaceae
Description: sRNA Os04g0439501
Source: RNAcentral